GGUUCGAUGGCGUAGUUGGUUAUCGCAUCUGUCUAACAUAUGUCUAUACAAUUACGGCGUGAAAUAUACCACAGAAGGUCCCCGGUUCGAGCCCGGGUCGAAUCA
This 105-nucleotide transfer RNA is filed under the name Lentinula edodes (shiitake mushroom). RNAcentral describes it as "tRNA-Val". The record is from RNAcentral. Lineage: Eukaryota; Fungi; Basidiomycota; Agaricomycetes; Agaricales; Omphalotaceae.